CCCUUAGAUGUCCUGGGCCGCACGCGCGCUACACUGAGUGUCUGAGAUACGAGUCUGCCUGGUCCGGCAAGGUCUAGGUAAUCGCUAAAAGACACAUCAUGCUUGGGAUAGAUUAUUGCAAAUAUUAAUCAUGAACGAGGAAUUCCUAGUAAGCGCAAGUCAACAGCUUGCGUUGAUUACGUCCCUGCCCUUUGUACACACCGCCCGUCGCUACUACUGAUUGGAUGUUUAAGCGAGGUUCUCGAACUGCUAGCGACUUAGCUUCGGUGAGGUCGCAGUGUGGGAAGUGAACCUAGCUUUGGUGUCUAGAGGAAGUAAAAGUCGUAACA
RNAcentral lists this ribosomal RNA (329 nucleotides) under uncultured eukaryote. Its description in RNAcentral is "partial 18S ribosomal RNA". It matches the Rfam family "Eukaryotic small subunit ribosomal RNA", at positions 1470 to 1796 of the family's 1831-position model. The record is from RNAcentral.